RNAcentral lists this ribosomal RNA (497 nucleotides) under uncultured bacterium. Its description in RNAcentral is "partial 16S ribosomal RNA". It matches the Rfam family "Bacterial small subunit ribosomal RNA", at positions 28 to 507 of the family's 1533-position model. The record is from RNAcentral.
GAUGAACGCUGGCGGCGUGCCUAAUACAUGCAAGUCGAGCGAACGGACGAGAAGCUUGCUUCUCUGAUGUUAGCGGCGGACGGGUGAGUAACACGUGGAUAACCUACCUAUAAGACUGGGAUAACUUCGGGAAACCGGAGCUAAUACCGGAUGAUAUUUUGAACCGCAUGGUUCAAAAGUGAAAGACGGUCUUGCUGUCACUUAUAGAUGGAUCCGCGCUGCAUUAGCUAGUUGGUAAGGUAACGGCUUACCAAGGCAACGAUGCAUAGCCGACCUGAGAGGGUGAUCGGCCAGCCUGGAUCUGAGGCACGGUCCAGACUCCUACGGGAGGCCGCAGUAGAGAAUCCUCCGCGAUGGACGAGAGCCUGACGGAGCAACGCCGCGUGAGUGAUGAAGGUCUUCGGAUCGUAAAACUCUGUUAUUAGGGAAGAACAUAUGUGUAAGUAACUGUGCACAUCUUGACGGUACCUAAUCAGAAAGCCACGGCUAACUACGUG